Stegodyphus dumicola is the source of this 349-nucleotide long non-coding RNA. The record is from RefSeq and is a predicted model, not a curated record. Lineage: Eukaryota; Metazoa; Arthropoda; Arachnida; Araneae; Eresidae.
UUAACAUAUGUGGGUUUAAGAAAGAGCAGCGAAAAUUUCCCAAAAACCCAAGAACAUGAAUUUUGGCAGCAUAGUUUUGUCAAAAAUUGCGCGAUUUGGCAACACUGCGUUGCAACGUAAAGCUGAUUCGCUGGUUCUGGUAGCGCCAAAGAACAAAUGCGUAGUUUACUGUGUGCUUUGGUUUUUAAAAGUUCCGAGACUUGAAUGGAUAUGGAAGCGGUUGAUGAAGAAGAACGCUUCAAAAGGCUUGCUUUCAUGAAAAGGAAGAGAACAGAAGCUGCUGCUCCAUUGCCUCAAGGCAACAGGAAAAAGAGAAAAAGGGCAGAGUCUCCUGCCUCAGUGCUCCAAG